GAUGAACGCUGGCGGCGUGCCUAAUACAUGCAAGUCGAGCGAACAGACGAGGAGCUUGCUCCUCUGACGUUAGCGGCGGACGGGUGAGUAACACGUGGAUAACCUACCUAUAAGACUGGGAUAACUUCGGGAAACCGGAGCUAAUACCGGAUAAUAUAUUGAACCGCAUGGUUCAAUAGUGAAAGACGGUUUUGCUGUCACUUAUAGAUGGAUCCGCGCCGCAUUAGCUAGUUGGUAAGGUAACGGCUUACCAAGGCAACGAUGCGUAGCCGACCUGCGAGGGUGAUCAGCCGCACUGGAACUGAGACACGGUCCAGACUCCUACGGGAGGCAGCAGUAGGGAAUCUUACGCAAUGGGCGAAAGCCUGACGGAGCAACGCCGCGUGAGUGAUGAAGGUCUUCGGAUCGUAAAACUCUGUUAUUAGGGAAAAACAAAUGUGUAAGUAACUAUGCACGUCUUGACGGUACCUAAUCAGAAAGCCACGGCUAACUACGUG
This 497-nucleotide ribosomal RNA is filed under the name uncultured bacterium. Its description in RNAcentral is "partial 16S ribosomal RNA". It matches the Rfam family "Bacterial small subunit ribosomal RNA", at positions 28 to 507 of the family's 1533-position model. The record is from RNAcentral.